Long non-coding RNA from Cyprinus carpio carpio, 926 nucleotides. The record is from Ensembl. NCBI's taxonomy places the organism in Eukaryota, Metazoa, Chordata, Actinopteri, Cypriniformes, Cyprinidae.
AAAAAUGUCAACAUGUUUAAAAUAUAGUUAAAGUGUUAAAAAAAAAGCUAAUCAUGAGCUAUAUCUUCAGAUAUGUGUGCAUGCAUAUUAUUUAGAGGUAGAGUGGUGCAACGUGUCACCCACUUAAUCUAACAAACUGUGCAAAGUGAUAAUAUUUUAUUCUUUCUCCUCACAGUCACUCUCAGCGUCCUAUUUCCAUCUGGAAUUAAUGACCACAUUAAUCUGGUCUCUCUGUUACUCAUCACCCAUAAUUCCCUGCUGUGACCUCUAUGACCCUCACCUCCUCUUGUGUCUGUCCUCUUCUCCUCCUCAUCCUCUUUUCCUGCAGCAUUCACCUCUGAAUGACUUGAGGCUCUGGCAGGGUGACAGCCCCUGUCUGUCUCUCCCGGACCAGCCUGAACCAACACCAACCUAAUCUCCGGGAUCACCUUUCCCCAUGGGGACACAAGUGUGGAUCAGUGGGACAGAGCUCCAGGAAUCUCCUCUUUUAAUUUGGGGAUGAGACUCAUGCUGAAUGAGCACCAUGGUCUAAGAAGAAAAGAAAUAUUGUCCACAAGGAGAGCAUGAUGCUGAACAGAGUGCAGAACAGAUGCACCUUCAUUACAAUGUCAGCGAGUUCCUAUCACUGACUGAGGAGCACGUUGGGACAAUGUCUAGACAAGCUUACAAAGGAUGCAGUGUGGAGGAGGAAACUGUGCUGCUUUCUGUGAAUGAGACUCAGCUUCACAAGAUGAAUGUAGGAAAUGGGAUGGUUGGGCCUGGUGGAGUAAGAUAUGGCAAUGUUGGUGUUAGAAGCUGUGUGUAAAGAUGAGUGUGAUAAAGCUUUAUUUUCAAUAGUUGCAAUGGCAGUGCUCUCGAGUAAAUGAUGUAUGAAGCUUUGGCGGAGACUUCAAAAUUCCAUCAAAACAGGAAGUGGAAAAAUAUGU